AGAAUCAACGCUGGCGGCGUGCCUAACACAUGCAAGUCGCACGAGAAAGGGGAGCAAUCCCUGAGUACAGUGGCGCACGGGUGAGUAACACGUGAAUAAUCUACCUCCGAGUGGGGAAUAACUGAGAGAAAUCUUAGCUAAUACCGCAUAACACUUACGAGUCAAAGCAGCAAUGCGCUUGGAGAGGAGUUCGCGGCCGAUUAGCUAGUUGGCGGGGUAAUGGCCACCAAGGCGAUGAUCGGUA
RNAcentral lists this ribosomal RNA (244 nucleotides) under uncultured bacterium. Its description in RNAcentral is "partial small subunit ribosomal RNA". It matches the Rfam family "Bacterial small subunit ribosomal RNA", at positions 26 to 285 of the family's 1533-position model. The record is from RNAcentral.